Pongo pygmaeus (Bornean orangutan) is the source of this 3476-nucleotide long non-coding RNA. RefSeq lists it as uncharacterized. Lineage: Eukaryota; Metazoa; Chordata; Mammalia; Primates; Hominidae. The record is from RefSeq and is a predicted model, not a curated record. The transcript is spliced from 3 exons.
GGCCGCGGGGCGGCGAGGGUGCCCUCGGCCUGGGGGUUCCGGCACCGCUGGCCUGGGGGUCCCCGGCAGCGCCCUCCCGCCGUCUUGGAGUCCAGGACUGCGGCCGGGGGUUCGAGGGUGUGGCGGCACCGCCCCCCGGGUCCCGGGGAGCGGCCGGACCGAGCUCUUGACGCCGGGUCGGGCGGAGCGCGGCGCUGUAGGUGGGGGAGACCCUUGGCAGACCCUCCCUGCGGCCGCUUUGCGUCUCUCUCGCCGCCCUCCUCACCCCUGCCCGCCUUGCCUCUGACCGCGCGGUUCUGCGAUCCAGACCCCUUCCCCGCCACCCACCUCCAGCGUCACCCCAGAAACGCUUUCUCUGUCCUGCUGUCCAAGCUUCACCUGUGUCCCCCGUCAUUCUGCCUGUGGUUGCUCCUCAGUGCUUGCGGCUGCACGAAAUCAUCUUGUGUGUCGCCCCCGACCCCACGUGGCGAUCGUGUUGAUUAGCAGAGUGUGUGCGUGCUUCAGGAAUGUAGUCGGUCUUCGUCGAAUCAAGGCUCUGUUUCUCUCCUCCGUUGCCCCUAGCGGGGCCAGCGACUCCUCCCUGCACAACUCAGCCCUAGCUACACCUUGGGGUCCCCCUGUCCGCCGCUCUGCCUUUAAUGAGGGGUGGAAAAGGAAGAGGCCCUCGGGAGCAGCUGGAGUGUGGCACUCUGUGUCCAGACAGGCUCCAGGUGCCGCUCCUACUCCCGACGGCUGCGACCCUGGGCUGGCCCUUUGCCGAUGCUCCUCUGUGAGAAGGAUCAAGCCGUGGACCUGAAAGCAGGCUUCGUGAGAGGAAGGGUUGGCUCUUCUUGACCGCAAGGUGCCCAGUGCCCAUCCUGUGGAAGGCCCGGGGGCACAGAGGCAGUAGAGGUGGGGUCAGCCCAAGGAAAACGUGUGGGAGACAGGCGCCUGCGGCCAGCAGUGGAAGGAAGGCUUUAUGGACGCUUGCAAGCGAACCAUGGUGUGGGAUGGUCGGAGAGCAAAUCUGAGGGGUGAGGAGGGCCUGAUGGAGAAGUAAGGGACAUGUCAAGGGAAGGCGCCACCACAGAGAGGGACUUCACCGGCCCUGGCCUGUCACCGCAGCCGAAGCUCUGGAGAGAGACUGUCCAAGUGGUGGGAAAGCAGGUUAGGGUGGAGGAGGCCCCACGCAGGGUCUUCCGUGAGGUGUGGGCAGCUGCUGUUGCGGGGAAGGCAUCCGAGCUCUCCUUUGGGGAGAUGAGUAUACCGGGUGGCUGUGGGGCCCUCCGGAGGGAGAGGAGAUGGGGUGCCUGCCACGUGGACCCUCUGGCUUCCGGGCUCUAUGGACAUCAGGCCUCUCCAUCAGGUGCCCUGCCACGCCCCUUCAGGCCGUCCUCCCGCAGCACAGCUGGGGACCACCGGAGUCUCUGAGGUCCCGGAGCGAGGAGACCAGACAGGGUCCUCUGAGGUCCCGGAGCGAGGAGACCGGACUGUCUCUUCUUUUUUCUCAUUUGACCGUUCAGCACAUUGUGGGGACCCCUACUGCCUGUCAGUUACCGUUCUACGGGACACAGCAGAGAACUAAACAAGAAGCUUAGAUUCUGGCGCAGGCACGGAACUUCAGAAGGCUCAAAAUGUGCUGGCUGGAGGGGUGCUGAGUGUGACGGGAGCCGGGGGCACACGCAAGCCCACCCAGCCCACCCAGUACCAGGGAAGCAGCAGCAGCAGCUCAAAGGGUAGCAAGGACAAUUGUGGGGAACAUCCAGAGAAAAACGUUUAGAUCCGCAGACUCCGAGAAGCGCUGUGCGAAGAUGUGGCAGCUCAUGUGGUCUGGAAAUUGUUUGGGAGAACACUUGGAGACCCCUUACCCUAACGAGGUGCCUGUGAACGUUGCCGCCUGUCCGUGGGAGACGCUGAAGCAGCUUCAGAUGACCACACAGCUCCUGAGCCGGGGGCCACUGUGAUGUUCUGAGAGUCUUUAUUGUAUGCUUGCGUCUUGGAAUGGGGCGCCUCGAAUGAGCCUUCUCAGUGACCUGAGGACUUUGUGUGUGGGGUGACCUCCGACCUUCAGAUACCCCAGGUUUCUGGAAGAUGCCUUUCUCCGUCAUCCUGGAUCGGGGCUUUCCCAGCUUUGCCUACACCUGAGAGGCACGAGUAGCCAGAUGAAGUCUUUCUGGUCUUGCUGGUCAGAGCCAGGAGGGCCAGCGCCCAGUCCAGGAGCCUCUCGCAGGCCUUGGGCAGCCGAUCCGGGCGUGGCCUUUCCUUGGCCCUUUGGACGACGACGCUGCGUUUUCCUCUUGGUCUUGGCCUCCCUGCCCACCAUGAGAGUGGACAUGAGAGUGACCAUCUCCACGGAGGCAGCUGGGUCUUUUGCACUCCCCAUGGCAGGGAGCCAGCUGUCUUCAUGCCCUCACCCUAGUGAAGUGGCUGAAUUGCCAGGAUUUAUCACAGCUCUGUUCUGUGUCUGAUCACAGGACCCACACCUUCCUGGAGAGUCUGCCCAAACAGCAGGCGGGUGGGAGGAGCCAUUGAACAGACCUGGCAUCCUGGGAGGGACACGGAAUUCUUCCCUUAAGAGUCUUGUGCUAUCUUGAGCGGCACUCUGUCACUUCCAAGAUGUGUAGACGCAGUGCUGCGUGUAGGACGAGGACCGGAACUCACUAAUACGGAUCUUACUAAUAUGGAAUUCACUAAUACGGAGCAUUGGAUUUGAGCAGCUCUGAGAUGUGUCCUCCUGCAGGGCUGCUGUGCCUGGUGCCCUUUCUCUGGGUCCCUUACCCUCUGCCUCCCUUCCUGCUGGGUCCUCUUCAUUCCCAUUUCUGCUUCCUCAGGGCCAGGAGGGUGCUGGGCACUUGGUGGCCACCUCAAUGACAGUGUGCACAUUUACCUGAAGGGGCAAAGGGUUAUCUUUAUAUUUCAGGUAAUCUCUGUGUUUUGGGGAAAUGAAAAGAUGGUGUUGGGUUAGGGCUGAUCAAUGAUCAGCGUUUCCCUGGGCUACACAAGGAGUGAGUGUUGGGUUGGUGGCCACUUUAGAAACCACAGGAAGGUCUCUGUCGUGGAAAGUCUUAUUAAAGGAGUCAAGUUUUACGCCUGUAAUCCCAGCAGUUUGGGAGGCCGAGGCAGGUGGAUCACGAGGUCAGGAGUUUAAGACCAGCCUGGCCAAUAUGGUGAAACCCAGUCUCUACUAAAAAUACAAAAAUUAGCUGGGUGUGGUGGCGGGCACCUGUAAUCCCAGCUGCUCGGGAGGCUGAGGCAGGAGAAUCGCUUGAACCCGGGAGGCGGAGAUCGCGCCAGUGCCCUCCAGCCUGGGUGACAGAGCAAGACUCCAUCUCAAAAAGAAAGAAGUCAAGUUUCACUUUUAACUUGUGUUAGUGUGUGAUCCUGUCUUUGUGUGCUGUGGAACUUGGUGCUGGUGGGACACAGGCUGCUCGCCCCACCCCUUGAGCUUUGCGUUUAUUCCUGGGAUUCUGCAUGUGAAUUGGAGCCUGUGCUGUAUC